This 570-nucleotide long non-coding RNA is filed under the name Mustela putorius furo (domestic ferret). Its description in RNAcentral is "lncRNA (ENSMPUG00000030947.1)". Lineage: Eukaryota; Metazoa; Chordata; Mammalia; Carnivora; Mustelidae. The record is from RNAcentral.
GCCACCUUUGACAGCGCCAAUUGCAGCAAAAUAAGACAAGGUAGAAUCAGAGUCUUUGGGCUUGUGGAGUUGCAGAGGGAUUGAAUCCAACCACUUCCUUUCCCAGGUAUGCCUCCUCCUUGGUCACAGUAUGCCUUGAACACACCUCUGCAUAUCUUUAUUAUUGUACCUGCCACAUCUUUUGAACGUCAGCUUCAAAAUGCCUGUCUUCCCCACAAGACCAUGAUGUCCUUGAUAUCUCCCAGCUGGACAUUGGAAAUAACUUUUGAUGGUUUAGGUCUUCACUCAUUUGACCCCAGGAAUGAGAUGGACCAAUGUCUAUGGAGUCUUAAAGAUUCUGGAAAGCAAUUCACACUUACAAGGAAGAAGCAAGAUAUUUCAGAUAACCAAAAAAGUAACAUGGAUCCAUUCUCCUCUCCGCAUGCUCUGUAUCCUAAGAGACUGUGCUUAAAGAACUGCAUCAUCUGCUCACUAGCCUUCUUGCUCUGCUGGGUUCAGCCAGUGGAAAAGGGAAGCAAGAAUUUGGGGAAAUGCUGUCUAGUUACUACCUUCCACAAAGAUUGGUGGUGA